CCUACGGGUGGCAGCAGUGGGGAAUAUUGCGCAAUGGGCGAAAGCCUGACGCAGCGACGCCGCGUGAGGGAUGAAGGUCUUCGGAUCGUAAACCUCUGUCAGCAGGGAAGAACGGUCACUGUGCUAAUCAGCAGUGAAUUGACGGUACCUGAGGAAUAAGCCACGGCUAACUACGUGCCAGCAGCCGCGGUAAUACGUAGGUGGCAAGCGUUAUCCGGAUUUACUGGGUGUAAAGGGCGUGUAGGCGGGGACGCAAGUCAGAUGUGAAAACCACGGGCUCAACCUGUGGCCUGCAUUUGAAACUGUGUUUCUUGAGUACUGGAGAGGCAGACGGAAUUCCUAGUGUAGCGGUGAAAUGCGUAGAUAUUAGGAGGAACACCAGUGGCGAAGGCGGUCUGCUGGACAGCAACUGACGCUGAGGCGCGAAAGCGUGGGGAGCAAACAGGAUUAGAUACCCCUGUAGUC
Molecule: ribosomal RNA, 465 nt
Filed under: uncultured bacterium
Lineage: Bacteria
Description: partial 16S ribosomal RNA
Rfam family: Bacterial small subunit ribosomal RNA
Source: RNAcentral